AGGACGAACGCUGGCGGCGUGCUUAACACAUGCAAGUCGAACGGAAAGGCCCGCUUGCGGGUACUCGAGUGGCGAACGGGUGAGUAACACGUGGGCAAUCUGCCCCUAGCACUGGGAUAACUCCGGGAAACCGGGGCUAAUACCGGAUAUGACCUCCGAGGGCAUCCUCUGGAGGUGGAAAGGAUUCUGGCUAGGGAUGAGCCCGCGGCCUAUCAGCUAGUUGGUGGGGUAAUGGCCCACCAAGGCGACGACGGGUAGCCGGCCUGAGAGGGCGACCGGCCACACUGGGACUGAGACACGGCCCAGACUCCUACGGGAGGCAGCAGUGGGGAAUAUUGCACAAUGGGCGAAAGCCUGAUGCAGCGACGCCGCGUGAGGGAUGACGGCCUUCGGGUUGUAAACCUCUUUCAGCAGGGACGAAGCGAAAGUGACGGUACUGCAGAGAAGCACCGGCCAACUACGUGCCAGCAGCCGCGGUAA
This 480-nucleotide ribosomal RNA is filed under the name uncultured bacterium. RNAcentral describes it as "SSU rRNA". It matches the Rfam family "Bacterial small subunit ribosomal RNA", at positions 26 to 523 of the family's 1533-position model. The record is from RNAcentral.